CUAAAGUUCUAGAGGAGCCUCUUUCCUGCCUCCACCCGGGGCCUUGGCAAUCCUUGACCUUCUGUCCCCUCCCUCCCAUCUCAGCCUCUGUUAUCACGCAUUGGGUAGAAGGUCCAUCCUCAUCCAGAAGGGUGAGCUCGAGGCACCGGAAUCAGGCGACUAACCUAUCUUUUGGAGGGGACAUUGCAGUCUGCCGCACUGUUAUGUGCUCUGAGGCAUGCAGGGAGGACCACACGUGUGUUUCACAAACAUGCUGAGCUGGUUGCUUCGGGUGGGGGCUUUACCGCGGCAGUGGAAGGAAAGCAGAAGAGCCAUCAAGAACCACUUGCUUUAGCUCUGUGGACUCCACUUUCUCAUCUUUGCAGAAGAACAGAAUGACACACCGAGAUGUAUCAGCCUUCUGGAAACUGCUCAGUUUCUCAGGACUCAGUGAGUGCCAAGGUAAAGGCGAGAUUCCUCUCUGCUGACACCGACCUCUGAAAUCUCAGCUCCUCAGUUUUCCAUUGCACUGGCAGUUUUGAACUAAGUGCUGUUAUCUCCCAUGUCCAUCCACUGAUGGGGAGAAAGCCCUGCCUUGGAGGCUCGGGGCAGAGGAAUUCAGCCAAAAUAGACAACGGAGACCCUCAUGGUCAGAAGGGAGUGAUAGCUGUUCUCAGGAGCGACUGCUGAGAUGCAAAGCGAGGUUUCCUUCAGCCGCCACGUCUGCUGACAAAGGGAGCUGGUAGCAGUGCUCAUCCCUCGGAACUGGCAUGAGGAUUGAAUGACUUUUAAAGAAAGCCUAGAACAAUCACCGAGGACAUGCACUUCUACAGGGGAAUGGGGUCAGGAGGAACUCCAGCACCCUGCGAGCCACCUGGCCUGGCAAACCCAGUGGUGGACAAGAGAGACCCCGCCUCAGACAAGGCAGGAGAGGGCUGACAACCGAGACAGAGAAGUCCCCUUCCAAGGUCGCCAAGAUGUUCAAGGCAAGUCACAGAGGGGCCAGCUGCCCUGUGUGCCACAGGGAAUGGACGGAGGACCAAGGCCAAGCUCAAAUUUGCAACAGUCCUCAUGCGUCAGCUUCCUGAGUGCCUGGAUGAGGUGUACGUCACCAUAUUUGCUAAAAUUGGGCAUUUUAAAAAAUUGGCAUGUAAGACUUUAACAUAUUUAUGAAUGCCUGUGGCAGCUCAAUACAUGCCUGUAUUGUGUGAUGCUCACACCCAGGUAAGUGUAUCUGUCUCCUCAUUCAGGAGACAUUUCUUCAGGGUGAAAAUAUUAAGAGUCCUGUCUCGCGGCUUUUUUGAAGUAUGAUGUACAUUAUCAUAGUCUGUGAUUAACCCCUCAAGGAUUUGGUGUGUGUGUGUGUGUGUGUGUGUCCCCACAUGUGUGCAGCUACAGAGGUUGGUAGUUGAUGUCGGAUGUCUUCAUCUGUGACUGUCACUGAACCCAGAUCUCACCAGUUGACUACACUGGCUGGCGAGCAAAGCUUCUGGGUCCUUCUUUCUUCAUCUCCCCAGCACUGAGGCUACAUCCAGGUACCACUGAACUUGGCUUUUCACUUAAGAGUUGGGGAUUUGAACUCAGGUCUUCAGGGUUUGGGGCCAAGGACUUCACCCACUGAACCAUCCCCCCACUACCCCCAGAUUUGGUAAUUUCUAAAAUUGUUUUUUUUUACUCUCUUGUUCCAGGGUUCACUGGGGAACUGGAAGCCCAUGAUUCAGAGCCCAUACAGCCCAUGGUUCAGGCUCAAACACACAACCACUGGAGGCCUGAGCGUACUGCAUCGGUGAUUUGCUGAUGCUGACUGAACCCCCACGGUGUGCCUGGUGCUGUACAGGGUGUGGGGUGCAGUGGCGAAGGACCAGGGCCAAGAGAUCCAGAUCUAAAAUGUUCUUGUGUCUGCAUUGGGUUCCUGAUGGCCUCCGCAUGCCUGCUCACCUUCACCUCGGCUAAGGAUCCCAGGGACUUCUGGGUAACUGCUGACACGCUGUCUCAGCAAGUUCUCUCUGUGAUCUUCGGGAAGCUGCAUUCAGGCCCACAGACCUGUCCUGGGGUCUGGGAGCCGAUGCCUCUGGAGAAGGGAGUAGGCGUCUCUCCCGAGGACUUUGUCUAAGGCCCAUGGGCAGUCAGGGGAGACUCCCCCACAAAGUGGUUGGCUCAGGGAGUGGCAAGAUUCCCCCCUUCAACAGGGUUCUGAGUGCCCAGGAAAAGUGCUCUAAAGGACAAACAGGUAGCAUGGUGGUGAUGCAUGCCUGUAAUCUCAGCAUGCCAAGAGUCCGGGACAAAAGGAUAUGAGUCUGAGGCCAGCCUGGGCUACACAGUGGCGCUGUAUCAGAGAAGCAGGUCCCUGGAUGAAGCACGAGAAGAAAACCGCCCAGGCUCUGGGACACUGGCCGAGAACCGCCCCCUCACUGCUGUGGUUUCUUUCCAAGAAGCUCAAAAUGCGGCUGAAUUAGGACUCUGCUUCCGUUCUAGCUGCUUCCCAAUGCCAGGUUUACACUAAAGUUCUGGCCUGCAGAACAAAGACAUUUCAAACCCAAAUUAACCAUGCGUCAGUUUGGAAACCCUGUCUGCAUCCUGGCAGUGUCAGCCUCUGCCUCUCUAGCCACCUUGUACUCCCAACCACGACCUUAGCAUUCUUCCUAGACAUUCCGUUUAUCCUGAUAUUCUCUCUCUCUCUCUCUCUCU
Peromyscus maniculatus bairdii (prairie deer mouse) is the source of this 2667-nucleotide non-coding RNA. The record is from RefSeq and is a predicted model, not a curated record. NCBI's taxonomy places the organism in Eukaryota, Metazoa, Chordata, Mammalia, Rodentia, Cricetidae.